RNAcentral lists this ribosomal RNA (253 nucleotides) under uncultured bacterium. Its description in RNAcentral is "partial 16S ribosomal RNA". It matches the Rfam family "Bacterial small subunit ribosomal RNA", at positions 524 to 776 of the family's 1533-position model. The record is from RNAcentral.
UACGAAGGGUGCUAGCGUUGUUCGGAAUCACUGGGCGUAAAGCGCGCGUAGGCGGUUAUUCAAGUCAGGGGUGAAAUCCUGAGGCUCAACCUCAGAAUUGCCUUUGAAACUGUAUGACUGGAGUGUCGGAGGGGAUAGCGGAAUUGCUAAUGUAGCGGUGAAAUGCGUAGAUAUUAGCAGGAACACCGGUGGCGAAGGCGGCUAUCUGGACGACAACUGACGCUGAGGCGCGAAAGCGUGGGGAUCAAACAGG